This is a long non-coding RNA of Harpia harpyja (harpy eagle), 321 nucleotides long. RefSeq lists it as uncharacterized. The record is from RefSeq and is a predicted model, not a curated record. Lineage: Eukaryota; Metazoa; Chordata; Aves; Accipitriformes; Accipitridae. The transcript has 3 exons.
GGGAACUCAUCUGCUAAAGCUGCAGCACCUAUCUUUCCUCCCCUUGACAAAAUGUUAGCAAGAUUUUGAAGCACACAAUUAAAAAUUGAAGUACCAAGCAACCUUGGAAGAAGACACUUGAGACUCGCUAUCCAAGAGCUACAACUGAUUUCAGGGGGAUUAUUAGUUUGAUGACAAGGAAUGCUCGAGGAUGACAAGGAUGAUCAAAGUUAGGAAACAACUCUUAUGUAAAGAACAGCAAAGAAGACUGGGACUCAGCCUGAGGGAAAAAAAUAUGUGGGAAGAUACGCUACUGGUCUUAAAAUCAGGGAUGAUGACAUG